Schistosoma mansoni is the source of this 45-nucleotide non-coding RNA. The record is from Rfam. NCBI's taxonomy places the organism in Eukaryota, Metazoa, Platyhelminthes, Trematoda, Strigeidida, Schistosomatidae.
AUCCAGCUGACGACUCCCAAAUAGGACGAAGCACAAGUCCUGGAU